Molecule: ribosomal RNA, 476 nt
Filed under: Salmonella enterica subsp. enterica serovar London
Lineage: Bacteria; Pseudomonadati; Pseudomonadota; Gammaproteobacteria; Enterobacterales; Enterobacteriaceae
Also listed under: 1 other name
Description: partial 23S ribosomal RNA
Rfam family: Bacterial large subunit ribosomal RNA
Source: RNAcentral
AUCAGAAGUGCGAAUGCUGACAUAAGUAACGAUAAAGCGGGUGAAAAGCCCGCUCGCCGGAAGACCAAGGGUUCCUGUCCAACGUUAAUCGGGGCAGGGUGAGUCGACCCCUAAGGCGAGGCCGAAAGGCGUAGUCGAUGGGAAACGGGUUAAUAUUCCCGUACUUGGUGUUACUGCGAAGGGGGGACGGAGAAGGCUAUGUUGGCCGGGCGACGGUUGUCCCGGUUUAAGCGUGUAGGUGUGUGUUCCAGGUAAAUCCGGUUCACUUUAACACUGAGGCGUGAUGACGAGGCACUACGGUGCUGAAGCAACAAAUGCCCUGCUUCCAGGAAAAGCCUCUAAGCAUCAGGUAACAUCAAAUCGUACCCCAAACCGACACAGGUGGUCAGGUAGAGAAUACCAAGGCGCUUGAGAGAACUCGGGUGAAGGAACUAGGCAAAAUGGUGCCGUAACUUCGGGAGAAGGCACGCUGACAC